GGGAAUGUUAAAUAUUCAUUUUGCAAAAAUGAAUUUGGUAAUAAGUUUUACCCAUUCCCU
Molecule: transfer RNA, 60 nt
Filed under: Paragyrodactylus variegatus
Lineage: Eukaryota; Metazoa; Platyhelminthes; Monogenea; Gyrodactylidea; Gyrodactylidae
Description: tRNA-Cys
Source: RNAcentral